This 1486-nucleotide long non-coding RNA is filed under the name Equus caballus (horse). RNAcentral describes it as "lncRNA (ENSECAG00000048177.1)". The record is from RNAcentral. Lineage: Eukaryota; Metazoa; Chordata; Mammalia; Perissodactyla; Equidae.
AGUGCCUUGUUUCAGGGUCAAGGUGUAUCAGCAAAGAGAAGAGGUCAGCUCACUCUCAAGGGAGACAAGAACAAAAGGGGUCUGCAGUCUUAUGAACCCUGAGGCUGGAGGGAGGAAGCAGAGAGAGGAUUAGGAGUAGAAAAUUACUGAGUACUGAGUUAGAAGGAGAAAAAAUGUCUUCGAGUCUACCUCUCCUCAAUAAAGAGGUCUGAGUAGAGGCAACUUACAAAGGCCUCAGCGAAAGGCCACAAAUAAAGAGGGCUCCACCUGAGGACACUGGGGUCAAGAACACAGCUGUAUAAGUUUAAGAGCUUGGCCCACCAGUUGCAGUUGCCUGAAACUCCCUUCAGAAACUGUAAUUCAUUCUGUCCGCACCAAGUCAGCUGUGACAAAGCCAGCUCUCCCCGAGGCCUGCCAGGUUGGAGAGGAUGUGGAGAGAAGGAAACCCUCGUACACUGCUGGUGGGAGUGAAAACUGGUGCAGCCACUAUGGAAAGCAGUAUGGAGUAUCCUCAGCAAAUUAAGAAUAGAUCAACCAUAUGAUCCAGCUAUCCCACUGCUGGGUAUUUAUCCAAAGAACUUGAAAACACAAAGUCAUAAAGAUACUUGCACCCUUAUCUUCAUUGCAGCAUUAUAAACAAUAGCCAAGACUUGGAAGCAAACUAGGUGCCCAUCGAGGGAUGAAUGGAUAAAGAAGAGAUUUCUGUUAGGAGUGAAACUUGGCUUGUGUUUGUCUGAAUUUAACUGAGAAGAGCUGAAGCUACAUGAGUUAAAAGAAUUAGUUAAAUGAGCAGUGUUUCCUGGAGAUAUAUUGGCUAAAGUGAGAAGUGGAGAUACAGAUUAAUUGAAAAUCAAUUUUUGGAAUAGAUAAUGGGCUCUUAGAUAGCAUCCCAUUGGCAGCCUUUCAAAUAUCGUUCCAUUUUCUGCAGGCCUUAAUUAUUUCUGAUAAGGGUUCAACCCUUGUUUUUCUUCUUGGAGACCAGCUUGCUGAGCCAUCGUUAAGAAAUUGUUUGCUGUUAGAGAAAUGAUUGUGGAGCUCAUCUCAUGAACAUCCAUGCUUCCAAAAUUUGAGGUUGUGUUCUGCCUGAUGGCCAAGUUAUAUUAACUCUUGCCUUACAUAUUUUACCUGAUUGUUUGUUUGUUUACAGUGGAGGGGCUAAUCCAUUGUUAACUACUUCAUCAUACUUGGAAUUGAAAUCUCCGAGUUGAUAUGUAAUAUUUGGUAUUAAUAAACAGACAUACAUAAAACUUAAUUUCAUCUGCCAAAGAAAAUAAAAUUGUUUUCAACUUCGUUAAAAUAAAAGUAAAGUUAUAGCUCACAUAAUUUCAGGAUGGUAAGAGCACAGUGCUUGUAUCCUCAUCUCAUAAGAAGAUGAGUCAAUGGAUAAGGUUUAAAGUUGUCUAAAGUUGAUAUUUUAAUUAAAAAUCCACUGAAGUUUUAAAAUGUGUAACUCUUCCGUAUCUAGUGGAAUAAAAAUAACGGUGAA